RNAcentral lists this long non-coding RNA (2472 nucleotides) under Nicotiana benthamiana. Its description in RNAcentral is "long non-coding RNA (NBEN_LNC021419)". The record is from RNAcentral. Lineage: Eukaryota; Viridiplantae; Streptophyta; Magnoliopsida; Solanales; Solanaceae.
AAAUCCCAUCAUCUCUUAAAAUUCUAUAGACGCCGCUCCUUUCUCCCUACCAUCUCAGGCCAACGAUGCUGGUCCCAAACGACCCCAAAAUAACACCCUGUAACCCCCAAGACCCCCUCACAAACCCCACUCCGUUUGCUUCGAAUCUCCCCGAAACCUCUCGAAUUUUAGAUCGAAAGAUGAAUCCUAAAAUUCCCAAAAGCGUCCAAAUUGAAAUUUUGUUGAAGAUAUAGGUCUAAUUUGAUUUUAUUCCUGUGUACUUUAUAAGAACAUACAAUUAAUAUCAGAUUUGGUCAAAAAUUGAAGGGUUUGAAGACUCAGGCUCCAUUUUUCACUAUCCGAACAUUGGUAUGGUUUUCUUUUCUUUUUCUCCUUGGUUUAAUCUUUUCUUCAUUUUUCUAUUUUUUUGCUUCUUCUCGUCGUCUUAAUUCUUAUUUUUCUAGUUUCUCCAAGGACGUUUUUCUUUGCAUGUUAGUUUUAAAUUAUUUUUCUUUAAUUAAUGUAUUUAGUCUAUUAAUUAGUUUAAUUUAGAUUUGUUAAUUUAGUUGAUUAGUUAAUACGUCAUUUAGUCUAGAUUUUCUGAUUGUCGUAGCCAUUUCAGUAUUCAUGUUAUCAUGUGCUUACAAAAGUUUUUUAAUUAGAUAAGUGUGUCGUUUGGGAUUUGAGAUGUCUCUAAUUCAUUUGACAAAGAGUAGCCCGUUCAAAUUGGUUUGGGUUAUUGGGUCAAUUGUGACCCAUUAUUGUAUUGAUUUUUCAGAAGUAAUUAACAAGGCUUAAAGGGGUAAAUUAGGAAUUGUAGGUAAGUGAAUCAUUUGUAAUAGCGUAAGGAAACUUCUAGGAAGCUAGAUGUUGGGACUAAUGUGGAAAGUUCAUUUUUAAAGUAAGGGUUUUAAGCUAAAAUGAAAAUAUCAAAAGGUACAAAGUGCAAAUAUGAUUUUUUAGGCUGCCCUAACAGCUUGCCUAUAAAGGCAUGUUACUUUGUAUUCAAGUCAGAUUCUUAGAGAUAAAAAAAAAGACUGAAAAAAAUGGCUGGAGAUAUUGAAAGGGGUAUGAAAAUAUGAUAAAAUCAUUGUUCCAUAGAAUUUCUUCUUUAGUUCAUGAGGUUUUCAAUUUCUAAAAUUAUUUCUGAUUCAUCUGGUGUUUGAAAAAGGUUUAAAGAAGUUGAGUUCACUGUUGUUGAAUUGCUGGCGGGAUUUACUCUAUUGCUAUUGAUUCUCUCAUCUCUUUCUUGCUUUGAUUUUUGCAUCGAGGUACUUCUUGGUUCUCUGAAUAUAUGAGAUGCAAGUUUGGAGUAUUGUAAUUGAUUAAAGAUUUUAGAAAUGAAUAUUAUCCUCCUCCUAUGGAAAUCUAGCUAUGUCUUUUAGGAAUUUCUAAAGUAGUGUAAUGUAACUAUGAUUUAUCGUAUUCAUUCUUAUCCUUCAUGUUGCAUUCUGUCUUAAGGUGGGAUAUGAGGUCUGUUAAUCUAUCGAGUUGGAGGUAUUUGCAUGGAGAAUACCUCGUGUUGGUUUGUUGCUCACCUAUGUAUGGUUUAUAAGUUGCCCAUAAUCAGGAUAAUCGUGUGAACCUAUAAAGACCGGUAACGGAUUUUUGGAGUUUAAUUUCAGAAUUAGUAAUUUUCAUUAUUCAGUUUCGGAUCUUUUGUAUCUUGUUUGCUUUAGAGGUACUUUGAAAUCCAUGUUGUAUUCAAAGAUGAUGGGUGAAUCAAAAUUCAAUAUGAGCUUGGGUUGGGGGGGAGGCUUCUGGUUCUGUUAAUUAUUGGAUAAUUUGUGUAAGGGUGUAUUAUUGCAUAGGGAUUGUAUCUUUGCUUUAAAGUCUAUGUUAGCCUUAAAAUUUGGGUUGCAUUUGAGUUAAAAGAUUAUUAAUAUUUACUUAAUGCCAAAUUUUCUUAAGUGAUACAUUUUGCUUCAAGUAUGUUUGCUGAAUCAUGUUAUGGAAUGUCAUAAUUGGCCCAAUUGCUAUUAUGUUAACAAUAAACUGGAGGUUUAGUUAGUCAAUUUGUGCUUGAAUAGUUAAAAUUUAGAAAUGAAACCGUUAAUUCAGUUGUAUGUUUUGAUUGGAUUUGCAUUUUGGUGAUAUUAUGUCAACGAUUGAUUUUUCUGUAACUUGAGCUUAAGUUGGCCCCGCAAAAGAACACCCUCUUUAGACUCGUUUGCAUGUCCUGCAUUCUUAAUGUCUGUUAUUUUGAGAAUUGGGCUCAUCUUGGGCCCCAAACCAGAAAAGAUGGGCAAAAUGGAAUUGUAUACUCUUGUAUUUUUAGGCUAGCCCUUUUAACUUCCCUUCUGAAUGGUAUUGAUGGCUUGAAAUGUUUCUCUUCUUUUUAAAUAAUCAACAACGUUAUUCUUUAAAAUGUUUUCCUCUUCUAAUUAGUUUGGACAUUACCUUAAAGUAGAAUUCAAUUUCCGUUAAUGUUUAAUUAAUUAGAUCUUUUCAAUUAGCGGAGGCGGCAGUAUUAAACAAAAUAUACCUUAUGGC